Molecule: ribosomal RNA, 136 nt
Filed under: uncultured bacterium
Lineage: Bacteria
Description: partial 16S ribosomal RNA
Rfam family: Bacterial small subunit ribosomal RNA
Source: RNAcentral
CGAGGAAUCUUSCGCAAUGGGCGCAAGCCUGACGGAGCAAUACCGCGUGUGGGAUGAAGCGCCUUACGCCGUGUAAACCACUGUCAGGGGACGGAAUCAAUGAUUGUCCCCAAAGGAAGAGACGGCUAACUCUGUG